RNAcentral lists this ribosomal RNA (544 nucleotides) under Protracheoniscus aff. fossuliger 142z. Its description in RNAcentral is "partial large subunit ribosomal RNA". It matches the Rfam family "Eukaryotic large subunit ribosomal RNA", at positions 656 to 917 of the family's 3401-position model. The record is from RNAcentral. Lineage: Eukaryota; Metazoa; Arthropoda; Malacostraca; Isopoda; Agnaridae.
GAAACACGGACCAAGAAGUCUAGAAAAUGCGCGAGUCAAAGGGCUGGCUAAACCCCAAGGCGAAACGAAAGUGAAGAGAACUUUUCACAAUGGGCCGAUCCGGUUCGAGGUGCGCGAGGCGACCGACCAAUCCUUCGCGGGUGCGGACGACUGUCUCUCCCCUCGAUUUGUCUCCCUAAUAUGAGGACGGCGCAGGCCCGGGGCCCGCACGCGACCUUUCCGCCAUCCAAUGCCGACUGGGUUUAUCCGGACGUUCGACGCUCAAUAAAGGGAGGCGGCGGGAGCGCGCGCGUUUUCCGCUUUCGAACCCUCUCUUCACGGGGGGGGCUAGGAGCGGCGGCGCGCGCGUCUCUCGUCGUGUUCUCAACGUUUUAGUCGUUCGUCUGGUAUUCGGUUCGCUGGCGGGAACGAGCAGCGGGUUCUCUGAGCGCAUUUUCCAGGACCCGAAAGAUGGUGAUCUAUGCCUGGCCAGGAUGAAGCCAGAGGAAACUCUGGUGGAGGUCCGUAGCGAUUCUGACGUGCAAAUCGAUCGUCGGAGCUGGCA